This 254-nucleotide unclassified non-coding RNA is filed under the name Flammulina fennae. Its description in RNAcentral is "internal transcribed sequence". The record is from RNAcentral. Lineage: Eukaryota; Fungi; Basidiomycota; Agaricomycetes; Agaricales; Physalacriaceae.
UGAACUUUGAACUGCUUGUGGCUUUCAGGCUGUUGCUGGCGGGACCUUCACGGGUUUCGUACGUGCACGUCUGAGCUGCAACUUUCUUCGUCCACCUGUGCACACUCUGUAGGUCUGGGUACCCCAUUGGAAGGGUGCGUCUCCUUUAAAACGGGGGGCGCUCCCUUUGCCUUCCCAGGCCUAUGUCUUAUAAACACUUUUGUAUGUAAUGAAUGUCAUUGAUUAUUGGACUUCACCGUCCUUUAAACUAAAUA